UACGUAGGGUGCAAGCGUUAAUCGGAAUUACUGGGCGUAAAGCGUGCGCAGGCGGUUAUGUAAGACAGAUGUGAAAUGCCCGGGCUUAACCUGGGAACUGCAUUUGUGACUGCAUGGCUAGAGUUUGGCAGAGGGGGGUAGAAUUCCACGUGUAGCAGUGAAAUGCGUAGAGAUGUGGAGGAACACCGAUGGCGAAGGCAGCCCCCUGGGUCAAGACUGACGCUCAUGCACGAAAGCGUGGGGAGCAAACAGG
Molecule: ribosomal RNA, 253 nt
Filed under: uncultured bacterium
Lineage: Bacteria
Description: partial 16S ribosomal RNA
Rfam family: Bacterial small subunit ribosomal RNA
Source: RNAcentral